Molecule: long non-coding RNA, 1832 nt
Organism: Brachypodium distachyon (stiff brome)
Lineage: Eukaryota; Viridiplantae; Streptophyta; Magnoliopsida; Poales; Poaceae
Exons: 2
Source: RefSeq, a predicted model, not a curated record
AAAAAAAGACAAAACCUGUACGCUUACGUCCCUGCCGGAGGCGGCGGCGACGACGAGGCCUGGCUGGUGGCGGCCGGGGAGCGAUGAGGCGGCGAUCUGGGCCGGCGUCGGCGGUGGUUUGGUUUCGUCGGCGGCCGCGUUGGUGUUGGACGCCCAAGACAGGGCCAGCCUCAUCCGUUGGUCGCAUUACGGGAUCCGCUUCCGGGAACGGAGUUACGGAGGUAAGGGCUCGCUGACCCCUCGCCCCCGGCGCUUGCAUUUUCAACGGUUAGGUUUCUCUUCAAAGCUUGAUAUGCGUGCUUGUGUUCCUCUGCUGGAAUUAGAUCGAUUGGUAACAGCAUUUACCUUUCCCUAUGCCAAUAGUAACUGACUGCUCAAUUUCUUUGUGCAACUGCUGUGGCCUAUACUGGUGAUAGUGUAGUGUGUGUCUUUUAGCUAGGAAACGCAAUGGAGGUUGCUGGCCUACAAGUCUUCUUCCUCAAAAUGAAAAGGGAAACUGGGCGUUCCUCAAUUUUGUUGGUACUAGUCCUGGUAGCAUAUGGGUCAUUCACCAUCAUGUGUCAUGUCGAACGUCCAGAGAGUGAAUUCGUCAGAAGUUAACAUUUCAACACUGCCGGCUGGCCAGGAAAUUGUUUAUUGAAAAUUGGGUGGUGGGAGUGGUUAAUUAGUUCUAGCAUGACUUGUAAAUUGUCUACUCCGUAUAUUAUUCUUGUCAUUUCGGCGGAGUGGUUAUGCCAUCAGCUGUCUCACUAUAAUUAAUGGUUAGAUGAUGCUUGGGUUAAUUAUAUCCAAUUCAAUCAAAUUCUUAAUCGCAAGCCCCUCCAAAUUAACAUGUCCACACCCGGCAUGCAGGUCAAUAUUUUUCUUCUAAAUUCUAACGUGCGUCUCAGGUGGGACCUCCAAUCAUAAAGCCACCCUCCGCUACUUGGUUUCAGAUUAACAUGUCUCCUUGUUGUUGCACGUCGCACACGCAGAGAAGGCCGCCAGCCACAGGCCUUUGCAGGAAUGAAGAUCAUGGCUGGAUUUUACUUGAAACCUGCUUUGAUGCCAUUGCUGCCUCUGCCUGUUAUACUUUUCUAUUCUGCGCUUGUUAAUCAAUUUAAGCAAGUUAAACAGUGCAGGUCCAACUGGAAAGCUGCAGUGUUUGCAUAUAUUUCAACUGCGUGUACGGGUGAUCACUGUUGGCUUGUUGCUUGUGGUUAUGCAAAAAUGCAAAGGCAGGCACCCGCCUGCAUAAUUAACCUGGACAUGGAUGAAGGGUGGUGGUGGUGGUGCGGUCGCCGAUGAAGGGCGGGAUCAGCGUUGAGGCCGUCAUCAACGUCAUCAGGCGGUGCCAUGGUGGAUGCUGCAAAGUUUCCGGAAUGAUGAAAAUCAUCAAGACCAUCGCAGAAGCAGCAGGGGACUGGUUCUUUGACAGGAGAGAGGUGAAGGAGCUAGAUUGUGAAUAUCCCUGCAACUCGACGUGCCACAACCUGGUUUUUGAUAAGCCAUUCAAGGGAUGAAGUUUCUUUUUAUUUUUAUCCUUUUGUCGUGGCGUUGUAAAUUUAGCAAAUUGUGUAUAGAAAUUUAUAAACUAGACGCCAAAAGCUUAGUUGAAGUGAGGGAGACUGCGUCCGCAAGUACCCCGGCUAGUUCUGAAACUUCAGGUACUACUAGUUUUGUGGUCUCUGAAGAAACACAAGAAUUCAGUAGCCUAGAUGAAUUGAGUCUCCUGCGUUGCAUUUGCGGCGGUGUCGAACCACGCAUAUGGAAUUUGGAUGUAUACAAACAUGUAUGAAUGGAUUCUAAGUUUUGUAAACGUGAAUGCGAUAUGAAAGAAUCCCUCGAUGCCA